CUUCAGAGGCAUUAAACUCAAACACACCAAUAGAAAAUUAAAGGUUUGCUGAAUAUAAUGAAAUAAACCACCAAAAAGAACCAACACAAUUUUACAUAUGGGAAGGAUGUAGUUAGGCUCAUUAAAACAAGUUGUGGUGAAGAGGAUCCCAGAUGAAAUCAAUCACCGAUGAGAACAAUAAAAACAAUAACUUUAUUGUCUACUGUAUCCUAUACUCAAUAUUAAACUGAAAAUAAAGUGGAAUACAAACAAACAUGAGACAUAAUAUUUGUCCAAAACAAACAAACAAAAUUAUGUGUCUUCACACUAAGUACUUCAGCUAAUUCAGCUCAUUAAAACUAUGAUCCCAGAUGAAUUGAUUCACCAAUAAGAACAAUAAAGACAACAACUUUAUCUUCUACAACAUCCUAUCCUCAACUAAACCAAAUACAAUCAAAUGUGAGAGAUGAGAUUUGUCCCAAACAAACAAAACUACGUAUUCACACUCAACCUCAAGUAAAAACUGAACCAAAAAUACCAAGAACGAUUUCAAACAAGAAUCCUUCACAAAUUAUUCAAAUACAACAAAUAAAACAAACAAAAGCCACUAUUGAAAGAGAAGAAACUGGUCUGUAAUCCAGAAAAAAUUACAAUAAACAAAAGAAAAUAAAAUCAUUACAGAAAAAUUUGCCAUAUCAGACAGAGUAAACAACCAAAAUAAUACAUGCUUGAAGCUAUUAAAAAUAUAAGAAAAGUAACUGAAUAACCCCAUGAUAGCUUCACACACAUCAACAAACAGAUAGAUAUCUCCCCACAGAUAUAUUUACUAAACAAAAGAAAAGACGCUAAAAUCAUAAAAAGAUUGAAUCUUUCAUUAACCCACAACAAGAAACUAUAAAGCUAUUUGUUCUGAUGCUUUGGGAUGGAAACAUUUCAGACAAACACACACUUCCACCAUAUCAGACAUCCAGUAAACAACCAAAACAAAACAUGCUUAAAGCUAUCAACAACAAAAGAAGAGCAAGUGAGUAACCCCAUGAUAGCUUCACACACAUCAACAAACAGAUAGAUGUCUCCCCACAAACAUAUUUAUUGAACAAAAAAAAAGACAGUAAAUCAUAAAAAGAUUGAAUCUUGAAUCUUUUGAUAAACCCACAAAUAAGAAACUAUAAAGCUAUUUUUUCUGAUGCUUUGGGUAUAGAAACAUUACAGAAAAACACAAUCUUACAAACUUUAACAUACCAGACAUUCAGUAAACAACCACAACAAAACAUGUUUGAAGCUAUUAACAACACAAGAAGAGCAAGUGAGUAACCCCAUUAUAGCUUCACACACAUCAACAAACAGUCAGAUGUCUCCCCACAAACAUAUUUAUUGAACAAAAAAAAGACAGUAAAUCACAAAAAGAUUGAAUCUUUUGAUUAACCCACAAACAAGAAACUAUAAAGCUAUUUGUUCUGAUGCUUUGGGAAUAGAAACAUUACAGAAAAACACAAACUUACAAACUUUAACAUACCAGACAUUCAGUAAACAACCACAACAAAACAUGUUUGAAGCUAUUAACAACACAAGAAGAGCAAGUGAUAACCUCAUGAUAGCUUCACACACAUUAACAAACAGGUAGAUGUCUCCCCACGAAUACAUUUAUUGACCAAAAAAACACAAUCAUAAAAAGAUUGAAUCUUUUGGAUCAACUCACAAACAAGAAACUAUAAAGCUAUGUGUUCUGAUGCUUUGGGAAUAGAAACAUUACAGAAAACACAAACUUUUCACCACAUCAGACCUUCAGUAAACAACCAAAAUAAAACAUGCUUGAAGCUAUUAACAAUACAAGAAGAGUAUAAGUAAGUAACCCCAUGAUAGUUUCACACACAUCAUCAAACGUAUAUUUUAUUGAACGCAAAAAAAGACAGCAAAUCAUUAAACCCACAAACAAGAAGCUAUAAUGCUAUUUUGUUCUCAUGCUUUGGGAAUAAAACAUUAUAGAAAAACAUUAACUUUCACCAUAUGAGACAUUCAGUAAACAACCCCAUCAUAGCUUUUCACACAUCAACAAACAGAUAGACAUCUCCUCACCAAUAUAUAUAUUGAAAAAAAAUAAGACAAUAAAUCAUAAAAAGAUUGAAUCUUUCGAUUAACCCAUAAACAAGAAACUAUAAAGCUAUUUGUUUUGAUGCUUUGGGAAUAAAACAUUAUAGAAAAACACAAACUUUCACCAUAUCAGACAUUCAGUAAACAACCAAAACAAAACAUGCUUGAAGCUAAUAACAAUACAAGAAGAGCAAGAGAGUAACCCCAUCAUAGCUUCACACACAUCAACAAACAUAUAGAUAUCUCCUCACCAAUAUAUAUAUCUCCUCACCAAUAUAUAUAUAUAUAUAUAUAUAUAAUACUGAACAAAAAAUUAAGACACUAAAUCAUAAAAAGAUUGAAUCUUUCGAUUAACCCACAAACAAGAAACUAUAAAGCUUUUUAUUCUGAUGCCUUGGGAAUAGAAACA
RNAcentral lists this long non-coding RNA (2479 nucleotides) under Solanum lycopersicum (tomato). Its description in RNAcentral is "partial TCONS_00161794". Lineage: Eukaryota; Viridiplantae; Streptophyta; Magnoliopsida; Solanales; Solanaceae. The record is from RNAcentral.